Molecule: small nucleolar RNA, 126 nt
Organism: Gorilla gorilla gorilla (western lowland gorilla)
Lineage: Eukaryota; Metazoa; Chordata; Mammalia; Primates; Hominidae
Source: Ensembl
AGUUCCUUGGAAGUUAAAGGUUAAGCUUAAGGACUGAUUCAAAGGCAGGUGCAAAAAAUAAACCCUCUUUUGUAACCCAGAACUCAUUUUUCAGUAUGAGUUUUGAUACAUAUAAGAAGGAAAGCC